CCUACGGGAGGCAGCAGUGGGGAAUAUUGCACAAUGUGGGAAACCCUGAUGCAGCGACGCCGCGUGAAGGAAGAAGUUUUUCGGUAUGUAAACUUCUAUCAGCCGGGAAGAAAAUGACGGUACCUGACUCAGAAGCCCCGGCUAACUACGUGCCAGCAUCCGCGGUAAUACGUAGGGGGCAAGCGUUAUCCGGAUUUACUGGGUGUAAAGGGAGCGUAGGCGGCGAUGCAAGUCAGAAGUGAAAGCCCGGGGCUCAACUCCGGGACUGCUUUUGAAACUGUAUGGCUAGAGUGCAGGAGAGGCAAGUGGAAUUCCUAGUGUAGCGGUGAAAUGCGUAGAUAUUAGGAGGAACACCAGUGGCGAAGGCGGCUUGCUGGACUGUAAAUGACGCUGAGGCUCGAAAGCGUGGGGAGCAAACAGGAUUAGAUACCCCAGUAGUC
RNAcentral lists this ribosomal RNA (440 nucleotides) under uncultured bacterium. RNAcentral's name for it is "partial 16S ribosomal RNA". It matches the Rfam family "Bacterial small subunit ribosomal RNA", at positions 338 to 795 of the family's 1533-position model. The record is from RNAcentral.